RNAcentral lists this ribosomal RNA (749 nucleotides) under uncultured bacterium. RNAcentral's name for it is "bacterial SSU rRNA". It matches the Rfam family "Bacterial small subunit ribosomal RNA", at positions 28 to 776 of the family's 1533-position model. The record is from RNAcentral.
AUUGAACGCUGGCGGCAGGCCUAACACAUGCAAGUCGAACGGUAACAUAACUAGCUUGCUAUUUGAUGACGAGUGGCGGACGGGUGAGUAAUGCUUGGGAAUUUGCCUUUAGGUGGGGGACAACAGUUGGAAACGACUGCUAAUACCGCAUAAUAGCUACGGCUCAAAGGGGGCUUCGGCUCUCGCCUUUAGAGAAGCCCAAGUGGGAUUAGGUAGUUGGUGAGGUAAAGGCUCACCAAGCCGACGAUCCCUAGCUGGUCUGAGAGGAUGAUCAGCCACACUGGAACUGAGACACGGUCCAGACUCCUACGGGAGGCAGCAGUGGGGAAUAUUGCACAAUGGGCGCAAGCCUGAUGCAGCCAUGCCGCGUGUGUGAAGAAGGCCUUCGGGUUGUAAAGCACUUUCAGCGAGGAGGAAGGUUAAGUAGUUAAUACCUGCUUGAUUUGACGUUACUCGCAGAAGAAGCACCGGCUAACUCCGUGCCAGCAGCCGCGGUAAUACGGAGGGUGCGAGCGUUAAUCGGAAUUACUGGGCGUAAAGCGUACGCAGGCGGCUAAGUAAGUCAGAUGUGAAAGCCCCGGGCUCAACCCUGGGAACUGCAUUUGAAACUGCUUAGCUAGAGUGCGACAGAGGGUGGUAGAAUUUCCGGUGUAGCGGUGAUGCGUAGAGAUCUGAAGGAAUACCACUGGCGAAAGCAGCCACCUGGGUCGACGCUGACGCUCAUGUACGAAAGCGUGGUAGCAAACAGG